ACCGGAGGCGCCGGCCCUCCUCCCGCUCCCAAACUUGGAGCACUUGACCUUUGGCUGUCGGUGGAGGCAGGCCCACGGGU
This 80-nucleotide microRNA precursor is filed under the name Microcebus murinus (gray mouse lemur). RNAcentral's name for it is "miRNA (ENSMICG00000030087.2)". The record is from RNAcentral. Lineage: Eukaryota; Metazoa; Chordata; Mammalia; Primates; Cheirogaleidae.